RNAcentral lists this ribosomal RNA (502 nucleotides) under uncultured bacterium. RNAcentral describes it as "bacterial SSU rRNA". It matches the Rfam family "Bacterial small subunit ribosomal RNA", at positions 836 to 1339 of the family's 1533-position model. The record is from RNAcentral.
GGAAUCAGUGUCUAAGCUUAACGCGAUAAGUGUCCCGCCUGGGAAGUACGGUCGCAAGACUAAAAUUCAAAGGAAUUGACGGGGGCCCGCACAAGCGGUGGAGCAUGUGGCUUAAUUCGAGGCAACGCGAAGAACCUUACCCGGGUUUGACAUUGAGCGACGUUCGGUGAAAGUCGAAUUCCCUUCGGGGCGCAAAAACAGGUGCUGCAUGGCUGUCGUCAGCUCGUGCUGUGAAGUGUUCGGUUAAGUCCGGCAACGAGCGCAACCCAUAUCCUUACUUGCUAACAGGUAAUGCUGAGAACCUUAAGGAGACUGCCCGUGUUAAGCGGGAGGAAGGUGUGGACGACGUCAAGUCAGUAUGGCCCUUACACCCGGGGCUGCACACGUGCUACAAUGGCCGGUACAAAGGGCAGCGACACAGUGAUGUGGAGCGAAUCCCCAAAACCGGUCUCAGUACGGAUUGGAGUCUGCAACUCGACUCCAUGAAGAUGGAAUCGCUGAU